UUUUUUUUUUUUUUAUUUCUUCUUUUUCGCGUUGUGUCUAGAGCUAUUAUCCAUAGAUCGGUGGAUGCUAGGUUUUGCGACUCAGGAGAUGCGAUGAAUCCGGUCGAAUUGCAUCGUUUUGUUCUUCAUUUGUGCAGUAGAUUCAUCUGGUGUAGUUUCUUCUGGUCUAGGUCGAAUCUCGUCUUAUUAGUUUCAUCUGGUGUAGGUCGAAUCUCAUCUGGUGUAGUUUUGAAUUUUGAAUUCUCUAUAAUUUUCCCUCCUGAUUGAAUUUCUUCUAAUCCACUUGUCUAUAAAUUGAGGAUGGGGAAGAGUCGAGACCAACAAAUUAUAGUUUGGCUUGGACAGGAUGGUUCAUAACGAGAAGGCGAAGGUGGAUGUCAAGUUCGAUGAUGUUGCAGAUAUAUUGCCUGGGAAAUAAAAUGUUUGUAUUAAGGUGAGAUGUCAUUAUUCUCUCUUUCAACCUAAACUGGAUACAAAUCUGAGAGCGUUUUUCAAAUUCAAAAAAUUGGGUUUUUUUAUUAGUUUUUUUUCUGCUAUAAAUUGGGAGGGAGGUUUGGACAAACAAACAAGGUUGCUCACACAAAUCUGUUUGCAUCUUCUUUAAUCAUGGAAAAGCUCUAAGCGGUAUUUUACCUGAGAAAGAGGGGAUUCGUAUUAAGGUUGUGUUUUGCGCUUGUGGAAAGUCCCGGCUUUCCUCAAUCCUUCGGAGACAGUUCAAUUGAAAUGGUGCUCGUGGAUGACAAGGAUCGACAUACAUUUUUUUCCGUCGAUAAUCAUGUUAUGUCUUAAAUAAAUGUUCCAUCAUGCUGGAGGAUUUAUUAUGUUCUGUUAUUCAUAAUUUAUAUGGUGUGUUUCAUUUGUUACGAAGGUAAAAUCCAUGCUUCUGAAGUUGGUAUCAUGCGUUCUGGAUAGCCACCAUCUAAAUAGACCAGAUAGAAUGCAGAACAACUCAGCCCGUGAUAAAGUCAAUUCUGUCAAGUGUAUAGAUAUAUGAGUCUUUAACCAUUGAAUUUCAUUAUAUGCACCACUUAGUUUCUAAGGUUAGAAAUAAUUAAGUUAUGUUUGUUUUAGUUUGACAUGAUUCUCCUUUAUUAUUUAAUAGAUGUAAUUGGUCUAAUGACUGGAAUUUCUGCUGAAAAAGAGUAUGUUAGGGAUGGUAAGAUAACAAAAAUGGUUGUGAUUGAGGUUAUGGAUUCAAGGUAUAAGUUUUUCAUGCUGCCCAUUUUGAUAUGAUGUUUAUGUGUUCAUAGGCUUAUUUGUGUGUUUUAUUUGCUUGAAUAGUGGGAAAUGUGAGUGUGCUCUAUUUGGUGACUAUGUUGAUGAUUUGAAAGAAGAUGGGAAAAUCUUCUAAAGGCCUUCCUGCAUAAGUUUUUAUGAAUGGGAUUGCUCUUCAUGGCGUUGAUGUUGAUUCCAAUGUGCAUUUGAUUGGUGGGAGUGCAAAACCUCCACCUGAUGAAGAGUUUCUACGGAUGCAUCCUAAAAAGAAAAUAGAUGUGUGAAACAUAUAUUUCAAGUUGUUCCUAGGUUCAAGGUCAAGAUUGAAGUGAGCGAUGGUGAUUCUACUGCUGGAUUCAUUCUCUUUGAUUCUGACAUAAGUUAUUUGAUGGAGAAGUCAUGUGCUUACUUUGUUGCCCAAAGGCAUCAAAUGAAGGGGUUUAUCCCAUUGAAUUUGAUUUUCUGGUUGGUAAGAAGAUGCUUUUUACUAUCGAUAAGGGUGUGAAGCAAACAAUCAAAUUUGAUGGAUCAUUUAGGGUCAAAAGGGUUUGCUUAGAUGCAAAAAUUAUUGAAAUCUUUGUUGCCCAGGGCCAUAUGUUACUCAUGUCAAGGCUGUGUCUCAGAUUAUUGAUGUUGAUUCAGAUGAAAUAGUAGAUGAUGUUGAUUUUGUGACCUCUCCUGCUGAAGUCCAAAAGAUUGAUACAAAUGAGUGUGCGCCAAUGACCAUGAAGAGGGACCUCAAUGAAUCUUUGAAUGUUGUAGCUCAAGUUGAAGGGAAAAAACAUUUGAGGAAAGUCAAGAUAGAGAAGGAAUGAAUUCUAUGGAUUUCAUGAAUCCUUGAUUAUCAUAAAUAAUUGGUUGUACCUCUUAUUAAGUUUAGUAUUGUAUGUGUGUUAUGUUGAGCUCAUUGUGAUUGUGCCUUAAAUAAUAGUUGUUUGUUCCACUGCAUUGCGUUUAUGUAUAUGCAGUGAUGUUUUGUCUCCUGAUAUGGAGUUGAAUGUUAUGUGUUCUCCUGUAUUGCUCUGAUGUGCAUGCAGUGAUCUUCAAUGUAUUAUAAGUUAUGAUAAUGAAACUACUUAGUUCUAUUUUA
Trifolium pratense (red clover) is the source of this 2305-nucleotide long non-coding RNA. RefSeq lists it as uncharacterized. The record is from RefSeq and is a predicted model, not a curated record. NCBI's taxonomy places the organism in Eukaryota, Viridiplantae, Streptophyta, Magnoliopsida, Fabales, Fabaceae. The transcript has 5 exons.